This 344-nucleotide long non-coding RNA is filed under the name Ananas comosus (pineapple). RNAcentral's name for it is "long non-coding RNA (ACOM_LNC011583)". The record is from RNAcentral. Lineage: Eukaryota; Viridiplantae; Streptophyta; Magnoliopsida; Poales; Bromeliaceae.
AAAAACCCCCCUGUAGUUUCAUCGUUUCUCACUUUACCCCCCUGCGGUUUAAAAUGUAUCAAUUUGCCUCCCUGUGGUUUCGUUUUUAUCUUUUCGAUAGCUUUUUCGUUAAUAUUUUAUUAAAUUAUAUACAAAAAUUUUAUAUACCCAUCUAGAUUUAUCAAAUAUUCACUUUAGUACCCUUUAAUUUUAACUUUAUAACUGAUUUAAGAAAAAAAAUAAUGAAAUUGAUAAAAAAAAAGAGAAAAAGGAAACCACAGGGGGACAAAUUAAUACACUUUAAACCACAGGGGGGCCAAGUGAGAAACUACGAAACCACAGGGGGUUUUUUGAAGGUUUCUUUU